GGAAUCUUCCACAAUGGGCGCAAGCCUGAUGGAGCAACACCGCGUGAGUGAAGAAGGGUUUCGGCUCGUAAAGCUCUGUUGUUAGAGAAGAACGUGCGUGAGAGUAACUGUUCACGCAGUGACGGUAUCUAACCAGAAAGUCACGGCUAACUACGUGCCAGCAGCCGCGGUAAUACGUAGGUGGCAAGCGUUAUCCGGAUUUAUUGGGCGUAAAGCGAGCGCAGGCGGUUUCUUAAGUCUGAUGUGAAAGCCUUCGGCUUAACCGAAGAAGUGCAUCGGAAACUGGGAAACUUGAGUGCAGAAGAGGACAGUGGAACUCCAUGUGUAGCGGUGAAAUGCGUAGAUAUAUGGAAGAACACCAGUGGCGAAGGCGGCUUGCUGGGGUCUAACUGACGCUGAGGCUCGAAAGUGUGGGGAGCAAACA
Molecule: ribosomal RNA, 424 nt
Filed under: uncultured Lactobacillus sp.
Lineage: Bacteria; Bacillati; Bacillota; Bacilli; Lactobacillales; Lactobacillaceae
Description: bacterial SSU rRNA
Rfam family: Bacterial small subunit ribosomal RNA
Source: RNAcentral